AGGACGAACGCUGGCGGCGUGCUUAACACAUGCAAGUCGAACGGUGAUCCACUUCGGUGGUGAUCAGUGGCGAACGGGUGAGUAACACGUGGGUAACCUGCCUCUUGCUCUGGGAUAACUCCGGGAAACCGGGGCUAAUACCGGAUAUUCAUUGCCGAUCGCAUGGUUGGUUGUGGAAAGUUUUUCGGCGAGAGAUGGGCCCGCGGCCUAUCAGCUUGUUGGUGGGGUGAUGGCCCACCAAGGCGACGACGGGUA
RNAcentral lists this ribosomal RNA (255 nucleotides) under uncultured bacterium. Its description in RNAcentral is "partial small subunit ribosomal RNA". It matches the Rfam family "Bacterial small subunit ribosomal RNA", at positions 26 to 285 of the family's 1533-position model. The record is from RNAcentral.